RNAcentral lists this long non-coding RNA (2371 nucleotides) under Equus asinus (donkey). Its description in RNAcentral is "lncRNA (ENSEASG00005025350.1)". The record is from RNAcentral. Lineage: Eukaryota; Metazoa; Chordata; Mammalia; Perissodactyla; Equidae.
CUAACCGGCUUAGGAACCAGCUCCUAUUUCAGUGGAAACGUUAAGUCUUCGAUGCACUGUUAAGUGCUGAUGCUACUGUGGCAAUGUGUUUUGCAAAGUCCUUAGUCAUCUUCUCUCUGCAAUCAAAUUAGAGUUCGUAUCUAACUUGUAGACUCUCUCAUUCAUUGCUCCACAUUGCUCCAUCCAGUCAGGUGAAAGAAAUUAAUAGAGUUUUGCCUUUUUUGCAAAAUGGUGGUUGGUUCUUCAGAAACCGUGUUAUUACCUUUCGUAAAUCUACAAAUAUUUAUUGAGCAUUUAUGAUGUGCUCGGCGCUGUUAGGCACUGUGUUUUUAAAGCACAAACUGUUGCAAGCUGAUUCCAAUAUAAUGUUUUCUGAUUCUUUAUCUGCAUUUUCGAUGGUAAGUCUUUCUGAUGGACAAAGCCUAGAAGGUUCCCAUCAGGGCUUCAGAAUUUUCAGGCAGUUUGCUUUUAUUUUUAUUUCCUAAUGAGAAGUUAGUAGAGAAAUGAAACAAAACCAGGUCUGUGUAAAAUGCUUGAACCAACAGUAGGUUUUCUAAAUAUGGACUAAUUGUGGGGUUGUGCCUGUUUCGGCCACUCCUUUCUUAGUUUCAAACACAGUGUGAUGCCAAGAAAUGCAUCCGACAGCGAGCCUCUCUUCAGGAAUUGACAUGACCAGACAUCUAGCAGACCCCGGGGGAGUGAAUGCCGUUCAAGACUGUCAUCAGCCAGGGCGACCUGGGGAGGGGAGCUACUGCGUUCCUUUGCCAAGUGACAGUGGCCUUUCCUGACAGUUUGGCUGUCAUGAUUGGGGGACUUGAGGAGUCACAGGCCUUGGGUAAUUUGUGCUCAUGUUUUAAUUUCUCCAGAUGAUUCUGAGCUGGUUAAGGUCCCUAGAGGGGAAGUUUCAAUUUGCCUUAGUCCUUCCUGUGAGUACAUACAUAUUCGAGUAUAGCUUUUUACAAUUUUUUAAAAUCGUAUCGGCUAAUUCUCCAUGACUUUGUGAACUCCAUGUUCUGUCCUCAUGAUCUUUCACUUGUUUUCUCAGUUUCUGAUGUCACAUUGGAAUAGCACUGUAUAUUUUGGCUUUUUUUGACCUGCUGAUUACAGGUAUAGUCUAAAAGCCAGAAGUUGCCACUUCAUAUUUAUGGUGUUCUUAAUAGAGUAGGAAAUGAUGUAAAAUUAUGAAUGUUAGAAAACUUAGUACAUUCUCAAACAAUUUUCAAGUAAUACGGAAAAUUUCCCGUGAGAAUUAGAAAAAGACUGGUAACGACGUAGUAAAUUUAGACCUGAAAUGUUUUUAAAAAUCUAUUCUGCAAAGAAAACUAGCCUCCACCAAAAUCUCUCUGCAUCUUGUACUCAAUAGCAACCAUUAGUUUUGUCAUGAAAAAGAAUGAGUCAGAAAGUUGUACAGGAUCAAAUGGAAAGAAGGAAACUUUCUAUCCAACACUGUCAUGGAAACCCGUUGCUACCUAUUACCUAUGACUUACCAAACUCCAAAAAAAAAUUUUUGAGGAAAUAAUUAAGCCAAAAUGCUUUUUUAAUUAUAAAAGUGACUACCUAUUAUUGGUUGUAAAUGAAGCAGACUUAGUUGCACUGUGAUCCAAAAAGGAGACAUUCCUCCCAUUUCUCCAGACUUGGUAAUAAGAUGAUUUUUUAAGCCACUGUGCCAUGUCCAUAAAAUUAAAACUUAGCAUGGCCAACAGUAACCUGCUCUCCCCGACCCGGCAACAUGUUCUGGGGGUGAAAGUACUGAUCCUCAGUGAUAGUCCAGUAAAUUAAUCUCCAUAAUCUCUUUUUUUCCCUUUCAUGUAAUAUCCUGACCAACUGUCUAGAAUCAGAGCAAUGCUUUUGGUUGCCUUGAACCUCCCUCCACAGAGACGACCUUUAGCCCCUCUCCAUCCGUUUCCCCCUGCCCACGUUGCAAAAAGUCUUAAUAACAGAUCCCUAAUGGCAACUUCAAAGGGCCCAUUUGUUACUCAAUGUUUCACACACAAGAACACUUGCAAAGAUUUCUUCAUAAUGUGAAUUUUUUGUUUUUCAGUUCCAGAAGCAUUUCCUACAGUUUGGACAUUACUUUUCCUCUCGGAUUUUCAACUUGAAGCUUUAAUUUGCACUGAAUUGCCUAACCUGGUUAAAAUUUUAAUUUUUCCUCUUAUUAAGCUGGACAGAUUUGGAAGCAAAUUACAGUGUGUUUUCAAAAAUACAGGUACUACCUGUUGACCUGGAAUUUUAGUGCUUCUGGGAGAAGUUUCCAGAAAAAGACAGCAAUAGAGUGAAGGGUUUUCUUCCCAAUUACUGUUUUAUUUUUUUAAAGGCCUUUUUUAAACUUGUCUAAUGUGGCAAAUAGUUAUGUGUUCAAUUAAUUUAUAUU